Molecule: ribosomal RNA, 492 nt
Filed under: uncultured bacterium
Lineage: Bacteria
Description: partial 16S ribosomal RNA
Rfam family: Bacterial small subunit ribosomal RNA
Source: RNAcentral
AGUGAACGCUGGCGGUAGGCCUAACACAUGCAAGUCGAACGGCAGCACAGUAAGAGCUUGCUCUUACGGGUGGCGAGUGGCGGACGGGUGAGGAAUACAUCGGAAUCUACUUUUUCGUGGGGGAUAACGUAGGGAAACUUACGCUAAUACCGCAUACGACCUACGGGUGAAAGCAGGGGAUCUUCGGACCUUGCGCGAUUGAAUGAGCCGAUGUCGGACUAGCUAGUUGGCGGGGUAAAGGCCCACCAAGGCGACGAUCCGUAGCUGGUCUGAGAGGAGGAUCAGCCACACUGGAACUGAGACACGGUCCAGACCCCUACGGGAGGCAGCAGUGGGGAAUAUUGGACAAUGGGCGCAAGCCUGAUCCAGCCAUACCGCGUGGGUGAAGAAGGCCUUCGGGUUGUAAAGCCCUUUUGUUGGGAAAGAAAAGCAGCAGGUUAAUACCCCGCUGUUCUGACGGUACCCAAAGAAUAAGCACCGGCUAACUUCGUG